Molecule: long non-coding RNA, 2607 nt
Organism: Symphalangus syndactylus (siamang)
Lineage: Eukaryota; Metazoa; Chordata; Mammalia; Primates; Hylobatidae
Source: RefSeq, a predicted model, not a curated record
GGCCGAGGCGGGUGGAUCACUUGAGCCCAGGAGUUUGGGAUCAGCCUGACCAACGUGGUGAAACUCCAUCUCUACUAAAAAUACACAAAUUAGCCAGGGGUGAUGGCGUGUGCUUGUAGUCCCAGCUACUCGAGAGGCUGAGACACGAGAAUCACUUGAACCUGGGAGGUAGAGGUUGCACUGUGUUGGUGCAGGACUUUCAUGUCUUUGGAGUAGAAUAAGAUGUGCCAAUCCAGACUCAACCCCAUCUCAUCAAGAUCCAGUGAUCUUCAUUUUCCAAUUGUGUACCCCAAGCUCUCUUCCUCCCCAAGCUCAUCCUCCACCCUGCUACUGGACUUGUCUUUGUACCCUCAAAGCAGUGUGAGGAGAUUCAUCAACUGGUGGUGUGGACAUGUGAACAGUGUGAGGCAGAGAGUUAUAAGCUUCUUGAGGGUGGCAGCCAGACAGUAGCAGUUUGCAUGUGAAGCCCCUGCAGUGGCAUAUGGAAGACUUUCAAUACAUCAGGACCAGAGGAUGAGCUGGAAAUGAAAUCACACCCACUGGUGGGAGAAAACCAAACUUGAUGACAGAGGACCAGUAGAGGAAGCAGCUUGAGUGUGUGUCCUCAGAUGCAGACACAAGGCCUUGCCUUCCUGGAUAAGACAGGUGCUGACUGGAGCAGGGUUUGCCAGACUCAAAGGGCCACAUUUUUGGGACAGCUUAAAAUGUGGUAUAUGGACAGUCUGGCAGUGGUAUGUAGAAUGGGUUAAAACUGGAAGACUGGGCUGGGUAUGGUGGUGCAUGCCUGUAAUGCCAGUACUUUGGGAGGCUGAGGCAGGAGGAUUGCUUGAGCCCAGGAGUUCGAGACCAGCCUGGACAACACAAUGAGACUUUGUCUCUCAAAAAACAAACAAGACUGGGUGAUUAGGAGGUGACUACAAGAGCAUAGGGAGUGAGUGGAAAAUGAAAGGAUGUGUGUAAAUCUGAAGAAACGGUCAGAACUGAAGGUCAGAGUGUGUGCUCUGCAAUGUGUGAAUACAGUAUGAAUGUGCUCCAGGAAGAAUAUCUGAAACAGAUUCUCAUGAGUUUCCCGAAGUAUGUGGCUGUAGUCAUAGAGUUGGGGAAGAAGAUAGCAGGAAGUGGGCAGAGGCAGUAAGAGUGGAAUGGGGAUUGAGGAAUUGAUACCCCUGAUGAGAAGUGAGAAAAAAAAAAGGCAGCUUGUGUUGGUGCAUGUGUGGGAGCAGGAGCAAGUUUUUGACAGGACAGGCUGUCACAUAGGGUUUUGCUGCUGAACUCCACCAAGCAAAGCCUUGGAGCAGAGUUCCUCAGCUGCUGAGGUCCACACUCACACUCAGCUGUAGCGGGAGGCUAUGGAGUCUACAGGCUUAUAGGCAAUUCCCAGAGUGUUAGUUUCCCACUGGCAUUCUGGGCAUGUAAGGGGCUUGUAGGGCUGGGCUGGAGACUAGAUGAGCCUGCCUGUGUGCAGGAAGUGCUAAACUGAAUACUGAGUGCCAGGCUUGCCUGGCUCCGUACUAAACAGGGAGUCACGGCUUCUGUCCAUCCAGGAAAUACAUGUACAUCUCAUAUAUACCUAUUCCACAAACUCUUUUUGAAAGCUCAGACAAUAAAUAGGCACAAAGCUACCUAAGCUUAAAAGGCCACCUGGCUCUACAUGUGAGACAUUAACAUGAGGGCUUUAUAGAUACUUUUCUAUAUGUAGCCUCAAGCAGACCAGAAGAAUGUGCCAUCGCAUGUCCACGGGCCAGCUGCAGACCCCCUUGAGCAGACUUGUGAGACUUUUUGCACUGACCUGGAUUUGUGGUCAGACUGACCUGGGUUCAGAUUCCUGUGUCACCAACUGCAGCCAUGUAACCCUGGGCUUGGGCUAACAUCUCUGGUUUUUUUUGUUUUUGAGACAGAGUCUCUCUCUGUCACCCAGGCUGGAGUGCAGUGGUACAAUCUUGGCUUACUGCAACCUCCAUCUCCCAGGUUUAAGCAAUUCUCCCACCUCAGCCUCCCGAGCAGCUGACUACAGGUACGUCCUACCAUGCCUGGCUAAUUUUUGUAUUUUUUGGUAGACCUUGUUGGCCAGGCUGGUCUCAAACUCCUGACCUCAAGUGAUCCACUUGCCUCCCAAAGUGCUGGGAUUACAGGCGUGGGCCACCGCGCCAGGCUCUAUCUAACAUCUCUGAAUCUGAAUUUCUUUGCUUGUAAAAUGAGGCUGGUAUUUAUUUCCCAGAUUUAUUCAGGGGGUUAAAUGAGCUAAAUCCACAUAAGGCAGGCUGGCAGGUUUUCAAGGAAAUGUUUAGUGACCUUCCCCUUCCAUAGGAAAAAACUUAUGUUUUAGAGCUAAACAGACCAGGUUCUCAGCACUUCCCCAUUUCAGAUUAUGUGACCCUGGGAUGUUGAAUCAGCUUCCUCUGCCUGAAUUUCCUCAUCUGUAAAAUGAAGUAUUAUUGCCUUCUUGCUGUGGAGAUGGAAAACUGAGAGGAGCCUGAGGCUCUCCAGCAGAGUGUGGCCUCAGAGUGGCCAGGGCUGGUUAGGUCCACCCUCUCCAACACCUUCAGAGAUGGGAGGACUCACUUUUUCAGUUUCUUCUUCUUCUUCUUCUUUUUUUUUUUAAAGACA